RNAcentral lists this ribosomal RNA (424 nucleotides) under uncultured bacterium. RNAcentral describes it as "partial 16S ribosomal RNA". It matches the Rfam family "Bacterial small subunit ribosomal RNA", at positions 359 to 775 of the family's 1533-position model. The record is from RNAcentral.
GAAUAUUGGACAAUGGGCGCAAGCCUGAUCCAGCCAUACCGCGUGGGUGAAGAAGGCCUUCGGGUUGUAAAGCCCUUUUGUUGGGAAAGAAAAGCAGUCGGCUAAUACCCGGUUGUUCUUACGGUACCCAAAGAAUCAGCCCCUGCUCACUUAGGUCCAGCCGCCGCGGUAAUACGAAGGGUGCAAGCGUUACUCGGAAUUACUGGGCGUAAAGCGUGCGUAGGUGGUUGUUUAAGUCUGUUGUGAAAGCCCUGGGCUCAACCUGGGAAUUGCAGUGGAUACUGGGCGACUAGAGUGUGGUAGAGGGUAGUGGAAUUCCCGGUGUAGUAGUGAAAUGCGUAGAGAUCGGGAGGAACAUCCAUGGCGAAGGCAGCUACCUGGACCAACACUGACACUGAGGCACGAAAGCGUGGGGAGCAAACAG